GACGAACGCUGGCGGCGUGCUUAACACAUGCAAGUCGAACGGAAAGGCCCUGCUUUUGUGGGGUGCUCGAGUGGCGAACGGGUGAGUAACACGUGAGUAACCUGCCCUUGACUUUGGGAUAACUUCAGGAAACUGGGGCUAAUACCGGAUAGGAGCUCCUGCUGCAUGGUGGGGGUUGGAAAGUUUCGGCGGUUGGGGAUGGACUCGCGGCUUAUCAGUAUGUUGGUGGGGUAGUGGCUUACCAAGGCUUUGACGGGUAGCCGGCCUGAGAGGGUGACCGGCCACAUUGGGACUGGGAUACGGCCCAGACUCAUACGGGAGGCAGCAGUGGGGAAUAUUGCACAAUGGGCGGAAGCCUGAUGCAGCAACGCCGCGUGCGGGAUGACGGCCUUCGGGUUGUAAACCGCUUUCGCCUGUGACGAAGCGUGAGUGACGGUAAUGGGUAAAGAAGCACCGGCUAACUACGU
This 467-nucleotide ribosomal RNA is filed under the name uncultured bacterium. RNAcentral describes it as "partial 16S ribosomal RNA". It matches the Rfam family "Bacterial small subunit ribosomal RNA", at positions 28 to 506 of the family's 1533-position model. The record is from RNAcentral.